Molecule: ribosomal RNA, 253 nt
Filed under: uncultured bacterium
Lineage: Bacteria
Description: partial 16S ribosomal RNA
Rfam family: Bacterial small subunit ribosomal RNA
Source: RNAcentral
UACGGAGGGUGCAAGCGUUAUCCGGAUUCACUGGGUUUAAAGGGUGCGUAGGUGGGCAGGUAAGUCAGUGGUGAAAGCUCUCAGCCUAACUGAGAAAUUGCCAUUGAUACUGAUGAUCUUGAGUACAUUUGAGGUAGGCGGAAUGUGUCAUGUAGCGGUGAAAUGCUUAGAUAUGACACAGAACACCGAUUGCGUAGGCAGCUUACUAAACUGUAACUGACGCUGAGGCACGAAAGCGUGGGGAGCAAACAGG